This 440-nucleotide ribosomal RNA is filed under the name uncultured bacterium. RNAcentral's name for it is "partial 16S ribosomal RNA". It matches the Rfam family "Bacterial small subunit ribosomal RNA", at positions 338 to 795 of the family's 1533-position model. The record is from RNAcentral.
CCUACGGGUGGCAGCAGUGGGGAAUAUUGCACAAUGGGGGAAACCCUGAUGCAGCGACGCCGCGUGAGUGAAGAAGUAUUUAGGGAUGUAAAGCUCUAUCAGCAGGGAAGAAAAUGACGGUACGUGAGUAAGAAGCCCCGGCUAACUACGUGCCAGCAGCCGUGGUACUACGUAGGGGGCAAGCGUUAUCCGGAUUUACUGGGUGUAAAGGGAGCGUAGACGGCAGAACAAGUCUGGAGUGAAAUGUCGGGGCUUAACCCCGGAACUGCCUUGGAAACUGGGCAGCUUGAGUGCAGGAGAGGUAAGUGGAAUUCCUGGUGUAGCGGUGAAAUGCGUAGAUAUUAGGAAGAACACCAGUGGCGAAGGCGGCUUACUGGACUGUAACUGACGUUGAGGCUCGAAAGCGUGGGGAGCAAACAGGAUUAGAUACCCCUGUAGUC